AGGGCACCACCAGGAGUGGGGCCUGCGGCUUAAUUUGACUCAACACGGGGAAACUCACCCGGCCCGGACACUGGAAGGAUUGACAGAUUGAGAGCUCUUUCUUGAUUCAGUGGGUGGUGAUGCAUGGCCGUUCUUAGUUGGUGGAGCGAUUUGUCUGGUUAAUUCCGAUAACGAACGAGACUCUAGCCUACUAAAUAGAUCGCCGGUGUACAAACAUCGGUGAGACUUCUUAGAGGGACAGGCGGCGAUUCAGCCGCACGAAACAGAGCAAUAACAGGUCUGUGAUGCCCUUAGAUGUUCGGGGCCGCACGCGCGCUACACUGAAGUGAUCAGCGUGCUUUUUAAGCCUACUCUGCCAAGAGUGGGAAACCCAAUGAACCUUCUUCGUGAUUGGGAUAGGAGAUUGUAAUUAUUCUCCUUGAACGAGGAAUUCCCAGUAAGCGCGAGUCAUUAGCUCGCGUUGAUUACGUCCCUGCCCUUUGUACACACCGCCCGUCGCUACUACCGAUUGAAUGUUUU
This 519-nucleotide ribosomal RNA is filed under the name uncultured eukaryote. RNAcentral's name for it is "SSU rRNA". It matches the Rfam family "Eukaryotic small subunit ribosomal RNA", at positions 1161 to 1699 of the family's 1831-position model. The record is from RNAcentral.